Molecule: long non-coding RNA, 295 nt
Organism: Hibiscus syriacus
Lineage: Eukaryota; Viridiplantae; Streptophyta; Magnoliopsida; Malvales; Malvaceae
Exons: 3
Source: RefSeq, a predicted model, not a curated record
CCGUUCAAUAUAAUAGUUAUGGCGCAGGAGCCACUGCUCUCAAGUAUGUUGAAUUUCCGAUUCCCUGUCCAAAACAGGAUGAAGUUUUGGUAAAAGUGGAGGCCACUAGUAUCAGUCCACUUGACUUGAGAAUACAGAAAGGGGUUGUGUGGCCAUUCUUACCUCGCAAAUUCCCCAACAUCCCUGGUAUUCAUGUAGCAGGAGAAGUCGUAAAGGUUAGAUCAGGAGUCGAGAAUUAUAAAGCCGGUGAUAAAGUUGUGGCUGUACUAUCUGCAAGAAGAUGGAUUAGGGAAGA